UACUUCAUUAGUAAAAGUUUAUUAUGUUAUCUUGAUAAGGUAGAGUUCUUAGGGUGAAGUAA
RNAcentral lists this transfer RNA (62 nucleotides) under Cylicocyclus auriculatus. RNAcentral describes it as "tRNA-Ile". The record is from RNAcentral. Lineage: Eukaryota; Metazoa; Nematoda; Chromadorea; Rhabditida; Strongylidae.